UACAUGGGGUGCAAACGUUGCUCGGAAUCACUGGGCGUAAAGGGCGCGUAGGCGGCUUUAUAAGUCGGGGGUGAAAGCCUGUGGCUCAACCACAGAAUUGCCUUCGAUACUGUAGAGCUUGAGACCGGAAGAGGUAAGUGGAACUGCGAGUGUAGAGGUGAAAUUCGUAGAUAUUCGCAAGAACACCAGUGGCGAAGGCGGCUUACUGGUCCGGUUCUGACGCUGAGGCGCGAAAGCGUGGGGAGCAAACAGG
RNAcentral lists this ribosomal RNA (253 nucleotides) under uncultured bacterium. RNAcentral describes it as "partial 16S ribosomal RNA". It matches the Rfam family "Bacterial small subunit ribosomal RNA", at positions 524 to 776 of the family's 1533-position model. The record is from RNAcentral.